GAUGAACGCUGGCGGCGUGCUUAACACAUGCAAGUCGAACGGAAAGGCCAGUGCUUGCACUGGUACUCGAGUGGCGAACGGGUGAGUAACACGCGGGUGAUCUGCCCUGUACUUCGGGAUAAGCUUGGGAAACUGGGUCUAAUACCGGAUAGGACAACUUUUUGGAUAUUGUUGUGGAAAGCUUUUGCGGUAUGGGAUGAGUUCGCGGCCUAUCAGCUUGUUGGUGGGGUAAUGGCCUACUAAGGCGUCGACGGGUAGCCGGCCUGAGAGGGUGUACGGCCACAUUGGGACUGAGGUACGGCCCAGACUCCUACGGGAGGCAGCAGUGGGGAAUAUGGCACAAUGGGCGCAAGCCUGAUGCAGCGACGCCGCGUGGGGGAUGAAGGCCUUCGGGUUGUAAACUCCUGUCGCUAGGGACGAAGCGCAAGUGACGGUACCUGGAGAAGAAGCACCGGCUAACUACGUG
RNAcentral lists this ribosomal RNA (466 nucleotides) under uncultured bacterium. RNAcentral describes it as "partial 16S ribosomal RNA". It matches the Rfam family "Bacterial small subunit ribosomal RNA", at positions 28 to 507 of the family's 1533-position model. The record is from RNAcentral.